This is a long non-coding RNA of Ruditapes philippinarum (Manila clam), 314 nucleotides long. RefSeq lists it as uncharacterized. The record is from RefSeq and is a predicted model, not a curated record. The transcript is spliced from 3 exons. NCBI's taxonomy places the organism in Eukaryota, Metazoa, Mollusca, Bivalvia, Venerida, Veneridae.
AAAGUAAUCAAGCGGAUAGAGGAGAGAGAAUAAAAUGUGUGUUUUAUUAAAUACUUGUACAACUGCCACAGUACCGUACUUAAGGAAAUAGUGGGAUGUAGGACUUGAACGAUUGACGAACAGGCAGAACAUUAUUCAACAAUGAUUUUGGCACUAGGACUUUCAGUUAUUCUGUUAAGACACAUAACAGAAGCAGAAAAUAUUACCUGCAACACUUUAUGCAUACGUGGUCCCUAUAAUGCAACAGAGACGUGUAACACAACUACUGGUGAAUGUUUAUAUGGCUGUACCGUUGGGUUCGCUGGACCAAAUUG